GGCGGCUGCCUUACACAUGCAAGUCGAACGGCAGCACGGGUGCUUGCACCUGGUGGCGAGUGGCGAACGGGUGAGUAAUACAUCGGAACAUGUCCUGUAGUGGGGGAUAGCCCGGCGAAAGCCGGAUUAAUACCGCAUACGAUCUACGGAUGAAAGCGGGGGACCUUCGGGCCUCGCGCUAUAGGGUUGGCCGAUGGCUGAUUAGCUAGUUGGUGGGGUAAAGGCCUACCAAGGCGACGAUCAGUAGCUGGUCUGAGAGGACGACCAGCCACACUGGGACUGAGACACGGCCCAGACUCCUACGGGAGGCAGCAGUGGGGAAUUUUGGACAAUGGGCGAAAGCCUGAUCCAGCAAUGCCGCGUGUGUGAAGAAGGCCUUCGGGUUGUAAAGCACUUUUGUCCGGAAAGAAAUCCUUGGCUCUAAUACRGUCGGGGGAUGACGGUACCGGAAGAAUAAGCACCGGCUAACUACGUGCCAGCAGCCGCGGGUAAUACA
RNAcentral lists this ribosomal RNA (496 nucleotides) under bacterium SNB-CN37A. Its description in RNAcentral is "bacterial SSU rRNA". It matches the Rfam family "Bacterial small subunit ribosomal RNA", at positions 38 to 527 of the family's 1533-position model. The record is from RNAcentral.